RNAcentral lists this ribosomal RNA (253 nucleotides) under uncultured bacterium. RNAcentral's name for it is "partial 16S ribosomal RNA". It matches the Rfam family "Bacterial small subunit ribosomal RNA", at positions 524 to 776 of the family's 1533-position model. The record is from RNAcentral.
UACGUAGGGACCAAGCGUUGUUCGGAUUUACUGGGCGUAAAGGGCGCGUAGGCGGCUUGACAAGUCACUUGUGAAAUCUCCGGGCUUAACUCGGAACGGCCAAGUGAAACUGUCAUGCUAGAGUGCAGAAGGGGCAAUCGGAAUUCUUGGUGUAGCGGUGAAAUGCGUAGAUAUCAGGAAGAACAUCGGUGGCGAAGGCGCUCUGCUGGACCAUAACUGACACUCAGGGACGAAAGCUAGGGGAGCGAAUGGG